GGAUUAGAUACCCUGGUAGUCCACGCCGUAAACGAUGUCUACUAGCCGUUGGGAGGCUUGACCUCUUAGUGGCGCAGCUAACGCGAUAAGUAGACCGCCUGGGGAGUACGGUCGCAAGAUUAAAACUCAAAUGAAUUGACGGGGGCCCGCACAAGCGGUGGAGCAUGUGGUUUAAUUCGAGGCAACGCGAAAAACCUUACCAGGCCUUGACAUCCUGAGAACUUUCUAGAGAUAGAUUGGUGCCUUCGGGAACUCAGUGACAGGUGUUGCAUGGCUGUCGUCAGCUCGUGCUG
RNAcentral lists this ribosomal RNA (293 nucleotides) under uncultured bacterium. RNAcentral's name for it is "partial 16S ribosomal RNA". It matches the Rfam family "Bacterial small subunit ribosomal RNA", at positions 775 to 1067 of the family's 1533-position model. The record is from RNAcentral.